CAGCCGCCGCGGUAAUACGUAGGGUGCAAGUGUUAAUCGGAAUUACUGGGCGUAAAGCGUGCGUAGGCGGUUUGUUAAGUCUGUUGUGAAAUCCCCGGGCUCAACCUGGGAAUGGCAGUGGAUACUGGCAAGCUAGAGUGUGUCAGAGGAUGGUGGAAUUCGUGGUGUAGCGGUGAAAUGCUUAGAUAUCACGAAGAACUCCGAUAGCGCAGGCAGCUUGCUGCAUCGCAACUGACGCUGAUGCUCGAAAGCGUGGGUAUCAAACAGGAUUAGAGACCCCCGUAGUCCCUGUCUCUUAUAC
RNAcentral lists this ribosomal RNA (301 nucleotides) under uncultured bacterium. RNAcentral describes it as "partial 16S ribosomal RNA". It matches the Rfam family "Bacterial small subunit ribosomal RNA", at positions 509 to 807 of the family's 1533-position model. The record is from RNAcentral.